ACUUGGAGGCCUGUGGCUAG
RNAcentral lists this microRNA (20 nucleotides) under Gallus gallus (chicken). Its description in RNAcentral is "gga-miR-7457-3p". The record is from miRBase by way of RNAcentral. Lineage: Eukaryota; Metazoa; Chordata; Aves; Galliformes; Phasianidae.